RNAcentral lists this signal recognition particle RNA (97 nucleotides) under Salmonella enterica. RNAcentral describes it as "signal recognition particle sRNA small type". It matches the Rfam family "Bacterial small signal recognition particle RNA". Rfam says of the family: The signal recognition particle (SRP) is a universally conserved ribonucleoprotein involved in the co-translational targeting of proteins to membranes. The record is from RNAcentral. RNAcentral also lists the same sequence under 1 other name. Lineage: Bacteria; Pseudomonadati; Pseudomonadota; Gammaproteobacteria; Enterobacterales; Enterobacteriaceae.
UGUUGGCUCUCCCGCAACGCUACUCUGUUUACCAGGUCAGGUCCGGAAGGAAGCAGCCAAGGCAGAUGACGCGUGUGCCGGGAUGUAGCUGGCAGGG